Molecule: long non-coding RNA, 166 nt
Organism: Coregonus clupeaformis (lake whitefish)
Lineage: Eukaryota; Metazoa; Chordata; Actinopteri; Salmoniformes; Salmonidae
Exons: 3
Source: RefSeq, a predicted model, not a curated record
AUAAACCAUGUCAAAUACUGGUGUAAAGGGCAUUCCUGGAAUACAUGCUCUUAUGUCGUACGCACUGACCAUCCCAAUAGCAGUGUGGAGAAGAACGGACCAGAUGAAUGGAUAGAAUUGUUCAAACUAGUCAUUACAGACAGUCCUAUUGUUGACCAAGAGGAGA